RNAcentral lists this non-coding RNA (113 nucleotides) under Parcubacteria bacterium RAAC4_OD1_1. Its description in RNAcentral is "SAM riboswitch aptamer (S box leader)". It matches the Rfam family "SAM riboswitch aptamer (S box leader)". Rfam says of the family: The SAM riboswitch is found upstream of a number of genes which code for proteins involved in methionine or cysteine biosynthesis in Gram-positive bacteria. The SAM riboswitch acts at the level of transcription termination control. Lineage: Bacteria; Candidatus Parcubacteria. RNAcentral also lists the same sequence under 1 other name. The record is from Rfam by way of RNAcentral.
UUGAUAUCAAGAGUAUGGCGAGAGUACUGGCUCGAAGACCCAUCAGCAACCCUUAGAAAUAAGAAGGUGCUAAAUCCAGCCAAUAGCAGAAAUGUUAUAUGGAAAGAUAAGAC